RNAcentral lists this ribosomal RNA (253 nucleotides) under uncultured bacterium. RNAcentral describes it as "partial 16S ribosomal RNA". It matches the Rfam family "Bacterial small subunit ribosomal RNA", at positions 524 to 776 of the family's 1533-position model. The record is from RNAcentral.
UACGUAGGUGGCAAGCGUUGUCCGGAAUUAUUGGGCGUAAAGCGCGCGCAGGUGGUUUCUUAAGUCGGGUGUGAAAGCCCCGGGCUCAACCUGGGAAUUGCAUUCGAGACUGCAUGGCUAGGGUGCGGAAGAGGGAAGCGGAAUUUCCGGUGUAGCGGUGAAAUGCGUAGAUAUCGGAAGGAACACCAGUGGCGAAAGCGGCUUCCUGGUCCAGCACCGACGUUCAGGCACGAAAGCGUGGGGAGCAAACAGG